RNAcentral lists this long non-coding RNA (1227 nucleotides) under Canis lupus familiaris (dog). RNAcentral's name for it is "lncRNA (ENSCAFG00040020347.1)". Lineage: Eukaryota; Metazoa; Chordata; Mammalia; Carnivora; Canidae. The record is from RNAcentral.
GGGGGAAAGGCGGCAGCACCCGGGAGGGGCUGCGAUGGCUUGUGCCUCUCCCACCCACCCAGCCCUCCAAGAGCCAGAGGUCUGAGCUUUUUCAUUCAUCUUUUAAGGAAGGCGCAAAGGUGGGGGGGGGUGGGGGUCCUGCCGAGGGAGGAGCUGAAGCCGCCACGACACGUGGGGACCCGUCUGGCCCAACCCCUUCAUUUCACUACGGGGUGGGGGGAGGAGGAAGUGGAGGGGAGAAGGUCGGCGAGGGCGAGGUGGGGCGCAAGUCCCGAGGAGCGGAGAGCCGGGGUCGCGGGCCCCGGGGGCGGUCGCGAGGGCCUGCGAGGGCCGCCGGCGGCUCCGGCCACUUACCUGUCCGCCGAGGCAGAGCCGCAGCCGCUCCGCGGGGCCGCGGGUUUCCCGACGGGACGUCCUGGAGGGCGGGGCCGGGGCGGGCCGUGCACGGCCACUGGGGCGCGCCCUUCGCGCCCCUCCCCGGCGAGGUGCGGGCGGACCCCGGCGCGCCCCCGAGCGCCGCUGCACCCGGAGGCCCGGAGGCCGGGGGAGGGCGCCCCCGCCCCGGGCAUCCCCCCGCCCCGCCGCUGCUGGGAGCCCGGCUUCCCCAGCCCUCGGCCACCCGGGGCUGCAGUCUCGGCGCCGGAAGAUGCGAGCGUCCGGUCACCCCAAAGACCAGAGGCGCCGACCGGGCGGCGGGCGCAGCGCGUGCAGGGAACCGCGGGGGGCGGCGCGGGGCGGAGGGGUGCGGCGGGGGGCGCGGGGCUGGGGCUGCAGGGCUGGGGGGCGUGGGGCUGGGGACUGUGGCGGGGGGCGCGGGGCUGGGGCUGCGGGACUGGGGAGCGCGGGGCUGGGGGGUGCGGCGGGCGGAGGGGUGAGGCGGGCGGCGCGGGCAGGAGGGGUGCUGCGGGCGGCGUGGGGCUGGGGCGGGCGGCGCUGGGCGGAGGGGUGAGGCGGGCGGCGUGGGGCUGGGGCGGGCGGCGCUGGGCGGAGGGGUGCGGCGGGCGGCGUGGGGCUGGGGCGGGCGGCGCUGGGCGGAGGGGUGAGGCGGGCGGCGUGGGGCUGGGGCGGGCGGCGCUGGGCGGAGGGGUGAGGCGGGCGGCGUGGGGCUGGGGCGGGCGGCGCUGGGCGGAGGGGUGCGGCGGGCGGCGUGGAGCUGGGGCGGGCGGCGCUGGGCGGAGGGGUGAGGCGGGGGGCGCGGGGCUGGGCUGCAGGACUGGGGGGCGCGGG